GACGAACGCUGGCGGCGUGCUUAACACAUGCAAGUCGAACGGAAAGGCCCUGCUUUUGUGGGGUGCUCGAGUGGCGAACGGGUGAGUAACACGUGAGUAACCUGCCCUUGACUUUGGGAUAACUUCAGGAAACUGGGGCUAAUACCGGAUAGGAGCUCCUGCUGCAUGGUGGGGGUUGGAAAGUUUCGGCGGUUGGGGAUGGACUCGCGGCUUAUCAGCUUGUUGGUGGGGUAGUGGCUUACCAAGGCUUUGACGGGUAGCCGGCCUAGAGGGUGACCGGCCACAUUGGGACUGAGAUACGGCUCAGACUCCUACGGGAGGCAGCAGUGGGGAAUAUUGCACAAUGGGCGGAAGCCUGAUGCAGCAACGCCGCGUGCGGGAUGACGGCCUUCGGGUUGUAAACCGCUUUCGCCUGUGACGAAGCGUGAGUGACGGUAAUGGGUAAAGAAGCACCGGCUAACUACGUG
Molecule: ribosomal RNA, 467 nt
Filed under: uncultured bacterium
Lineage: Bacteria
Description: partial 16S ribosomal RNA
Rfam family: Bacterial small subunit ribosomal RNA
Source: RNAcentral